UGUAACGACAUGCCAGGACUUUAUCUCUCUGUUUGUCCUGGAAUAGAUGACCCUCUAUUGAACGUUUUCUUAAAGAGCAUUGCUCUAUUGAGCAUUGAACAUUGUCAGACCAAUGGGAAAAUGAUUAAACCAAAAGCAAUGGCUUCAGGAACGUUUGGGAUUUGAGUGAACGGACCGUCGUSUACCCAUCACAAUGGCGCCAGGCUCAGACUCAUUCUGACAACUGGAGUUCUUGUUUGCUCCAUGGCAGAACUCGAGGUUCACGGCCUUAUGGCGGAGACAUGGGAACUCGAUGAGUCGGCGUCGAUGAGUGUGCCGCUUCUCUGGCUGAGUAUGUGGUUCCGAAGAUGACAUAGGACAGGUAUGUGARUGGAGUCCAACUCAUAGUUGAGGCAUAAUUUUGCAAUUGGAACAAAAUGUUUUGAUCAAUAAAUGACUUUAUUUCGUGGAAUUGCUCUCCACCAUCACCUCAGCGUUCAUGCCCUCACUGACAAGACAGAGGUAAUUGUCUUGUCUGAAGAAAUUGUGAUUGUCUUGAGUCUCUCAACUACAAUUUGCUUACAAUUCACAAGACGAACAGUACCCUUCCACUUAACUAUUCAAUUGCAUACCCGAGAGCUUUCCCGACAGCACAGUCAGACACGACAGGAUG
This is a long non-coding RNA of Salvelinus sp. IW2-2015, 652 nucleotides long. RefSeq lists it as uncharacterized. The record is from RefSeq and is a predicted model, not a curated record. NCBI's taxonomy places the organism in Eukaryota, Metazoa, Chordata, Actinopteri, Salmoniformes, Salmonidae.